Molecule: ribosomal RNA, 473 nt
Filed under: Salmonella enterica subsp. enterica serovar Heidelberg
Lineage: Bacteria; Pseudomonadati; Pseudomonadota; Gammaproteobacteria; Enterobacterales; Enterobacteriaceae
Description: partial 23S ribosomal RNA
Rfam family: Bacterial large subunit ribosomal RNA
Source: RNAcentral
CGAUGAAGGACGUGCUAAUCUGCGAUAAGCGCCGGUAAGGUGAUAUGAACCGUUAUAACCGGCGAUUUCCGAAUGGGGAAACCCAGUGUGACUCGUCACACUAUCAUUAACUGAAUCCAUAGGUUAAUGAGGCGAACCGGGGGAACUGAAACAUCUAAGUACCCCGAGGAAAAGAAAUCAACCGAGAUUCCCCCAGUAGCGGCGAGCGAACGGGGAGGAGCCCAGAGCCUGAAUCAGCAUGUGUGUUAGUGGAAGCGUCUGGAAAGGCGCGCGAUACAGGGUGACAGCCCCGUACACAAAAGCGCAUGUGCUGUGAGCUCGAUGAGUAGGGCGGGACACGUGGUAUCCUGUCUGAAUAUGGGGGGACCAUCCUCCAAGGCUAAAUACUCCUGACUGACCGAUAGUGAACCAGUACCGUGAGGGAAAGGCGAAAAGAACCCCGGCGAGGGGAGUGAAAAAGAACCUGAAACCGU